Molecule: ribosomal RNA, 497 nt
Filed under: uncultured bacterium
Lineage: Bacteria
Description: partial 16S ribosomal RNA
Rfam family: Bacterial small subunit ribosomal RNA
Source: RNAcentral
GACGAACGCUGGCGGCGUGCCUAAUACAUGCAAGUAGAACGCUGAAGAGAGGAGCUUGCUCUUCUUGGAUGAGUUGCGAACGGGUGAGUAACGCGUAGGUAACCUGCCUUGUAGCGGGGGAUAACUAUUGGAAACGAUAGCUAAUACCGCAUAACAAUGGAUGACACAUGUCAUUUAUUUGAAAGGGGCAAUUGCUCCACUACAAGAUGGACCUGCGUUGUAUUAGCUAGUAGGUGAGGUAAUGGCUCACCUAGGCGACGAUACAUAGCCGACCUGAGAGGGUGAUCGGCCACACUGGGAAUGAGACACGGCCCAGACUCCUACGGGAGGCAGCAGUAGGGGAUCUUCGGCAAUGGGGGCAACACUGACCGAGCAACGCCGCGUGAGUGCAGAAGGUUUUCGGAUCGUAAAGCUCUGUUGUAAGUCAAGAACGGGUGUGAGAGUGGAAAGUUCACACUGUGACGGUAGCUUACCAGAAAGGGACGGCUAACUACGUG